GUAGUUUACCGGCAAUGGAAUGCGCUGGCCUUGGGGCUGGCUGGACUUUUAAUCUGUAGGUCUCGGGUUCGAGUCCCGACGGGUCCACCA
This 90-nucleotide transfer RNA is filed under the name Novosphingobium hassiacum. RNAcentral's name for it is "tRNA-Lys". Lineage: Bacteria; Pseudomonadati; Pseudomonadota; Alphaproteobacteria; Sphingomonadales; Sphingomonadaceae. The record is from RNAcentral.